UUUUCAUAAUUCCCAAAACCAUAAACAAUUACCAUAUUCUUACAUCUCUCUCUCUCUCUAAAAUCGUUUGAACCAAACACCCCUCACUCCACUUUCAUUUCAAUCUUCAAACUCAAGAAUUCUUGCUCUUAUGGAGAUCCAUGGAUGAAACAAACUAUUAGGGUGUUAAGUAAAGCUAUUGGAGCAUUUUUGGUGGAACUUAAAGCCUAAAAUCAUCAAGAUUUCUUAUCAUCAUCUUUGUUUUCUUGCAAAAAUUGUAAGAACACUACACUAGUCUCACUUUAUUUUUGAUUUCUUUUACAAGUUCAUCAUAAUCACAUAUGAAAAACAACAAGAAACAACUAAAAAUCAUUAUUUUUAACCAUGAUUUUUCUAUGAUUAUGAGAUGAACUUGGAGAAAUCUAGGCUAAUAAACUUGAAUCUUGGUUAUUUCUACUCAAAAAUAUGAUCUACAUACAUGCAUGUAGGAUCAACCAAGAUUCAUCAACAAAGGAAUGAACAUGAAUUUUUAUGAACAUGCAUGUUAGUAAAAUAUGAGAAACCAUAUAAAACUAAGAAAAUAAAUUUUCGAAAUAUUUCUUGGAUAAAGUUUCCAUUUUCUGGAAAGGAUCAAAAUCAAGAAAUAUGUUGACAUCUAAAACAAGAGUUUUUCAUAAAAUCUCGUUUUACAAAUUUUUGGCAAAAAUAAGGAAUAAAGUUUCCUUUUUGGGAAAGUUAAGAAUAAUAUCAUGUUCAUGCUAGUUUUGUUGACAAUUUUUGAUAGAUAUUGAUACUUGAUGAUGUUUUGUAUUGAAAUAAUUUGAAAACAAGUUUUGUAUAAACUUGGGGAAAAAUCAAUAUUUCAAAAUAAACUAAAAUAAACUAUGGCAAAAUUUUUAUAAAUUUUGUGAUAUAUUAAAAGUUGUUAAACAAAGAAGUUUGUGACUAAAAUUAUUAUUUGAGGUCUUUAAACAUGGUUAAACAAUUUUUGGACAAAGUCAUAAAUCCAUGUUUUAUAAAAAGAUUUCUAAAUAAAAAUGACAAGUAUAUAUUUUUGGAUAAAAUGUGUGCUUAAAAAAUAUUCAUCAAGUAUCAUAAGUUUAUAUAUUUUGAUGUGUACAUCAUAUGUUAGUUCUAGUAGGAACAAAAGAAAAAUUAUUACACAUCCAUAAAAAUAAAAAAAUAUAUAUAUAAACUUGAAAACGAAAUAAAAUGUCCAUCCUUGGACACGAAAACACAAAUGGACAAAUUCGGACACUAUUGGACUAUAUGGACUUUUGGACAAACUAAAAUGGCACAAACAAAGCAAAUGGUAAAACGUGACGGACGACACAAACGGGACAAACGAUACGAAUAAAUAAAACCGACAAGUAGUAAACGACUAGAAUAAAAUACGAACCGUCACACAAGUUUAUGCACUAAAAUGUUCAACUAUGGCAUAAGUAAUGAUUUUUAUAAAAAUUAGAUUUUUAUAAAAAUACAAGUAUCACUAUUAUUAUUUUUUUUACUAGCCCAAAAAUUAUGUAGUUUAAAAAGUGGUCCAUAAAUUAAAAUUUGGGCUAAUGCCCAUUUCUCAUAAACAAAAUUUGGGCUAGGCCCACUUUUACAAAACAAUGGACUAAAAAUAUAUUUUUAGUCAAAGUGGGCUAAAGCCCACUUUACAAAAUACUUGGGCUAAAAACCCAAUAUUUACAAAUUAUUAUGGACUAGAUAUAUUUUAGAAAACAAUUUGGGCUAGGCCCAUUCUUACACAAGUUAUUUGGGCUAAGUCCACAACUAUAAACUAAAUUGGGCUAGGCCUACCUUUAUAAAAUGUUUUGGGCUAAGGCCCACUUCUACAAAUUAAUUUGGGCUUGACCCAUAUUUUUAAACAAAGUUAUUUGGGCUAGGCCCAUAAGCACCAAAAUACCCAAAAUGGACUUAAAUUCUAAAACAUAAAGUAAGCCCAUUCA
Molecule: long non-coding RNA, 1931 nt
Filed under: Helianthus annuus (common sunflower)
Lineage: Eukaryota; Viridiplantae; Streptophyta; Magnoliopsida; Asterales; Asteraceae
Description: hypothetical non coding rna
Source: RNAcentral